AAAAAUGUAAAAAUGAAAGAAAGAGAAUGAUAUUUUUACUGAAUUGCCCUUGUUAUUAUUUUGAAACCUUCACUUUUAUUAUUUUGAAACCUUCACUUUUAAGUAAUGAUUACUUUUUUGUUCCACUACAAACUUUUACAUGAGGACCACAAAAAGUAUUUAUAAGGGGUAAAUUUGUCAAAUUCUAUUUAGAAAUCUGAGAAUGUCAAAUAUUGUGGGACAAAUAUUUUUUUAAAAUAGCUAAGUAUUGAGGGACGGAGGUAGCAGUACAAGUGUGUGUUUUCUUUGAACAAUAGUAUAUUUGAAUGUAAAAAGCAUGUUUAGAGUUCUAACUAGAAAUUAAAAUCAGUCCAUAUACCAUCCAAACGUGUCAAUAUCAAUUUUAUGCAUUUGAAAUCACUUUUGGCUUUUUAUCUGAAAAACAAACACACACUUCAAAAUUAUUUUCUUCUCAGUGUUGGCAUUAGAACAAGGUGGGAAGUUUGACUUUUGACAUUAAACAAUUAAAUUCUUAGGGAUGUACAAUGUGCAUUAAUUUUAUUUUUUGACUUUGCAUUAAUUAAUAUAUAUUUGUUGAAAUAUUUAGCAGGAAAGGGCAGAGAGAAUUGGCAUUGAUCCUUCAAAAGGACACCCCAACUGGGGGUGGCAAGGGCAUAAUCAAGGCAC
RNAcentral lists this long non-coding RNA (666 nucleotides) under Medicago truncatula (barrel medic). RNAcentral describes it as "long non-coding RNA (MTRU_LNC008872)". Lineage: Eukaryota; Viridiplantae; Streptophyta; Magnoliopsida; Fabales; Fabaceae. The record is from RNAcentral.